AGUGAACGCUGGCGGCAUGCCUAAUACAUGCAAGUCGAACGGCAGCACAGUAAGAUCUUGCCCUUACGGGUGGCGAGUGGCGGACGGGUGAGGAAUACAUAGCAAUCUACUUUUUCGUGGGGGAUAACGUAGGGAAACUUACGCUAAUACCGCAUAUUUCCUACGGGUGAAAGCAAGGGAUCUUCGGACCUUGCGCGAUUGAUUGAGCCGGUGCCGGAUUAGCUAGUUGGCGUGGUAAAGGCCCACCAAGGCGACGAUCCGUAGCUGGUCUGAGAGGAUGAUCGGCCACACUGGAACUGAGACACGGUCCAGACUCCUACGGGAGGCAGCAGUAGGGAAUAUUGGGCAAUGGGCGAAAGCCUGAUGCAGCAAUGCCGCGUGAGUGAUGAAGGUCUUCGGAUUGUAAAACCCUUUUGUUAGGGAAGAACAGCUGCAGGAUUAAACCCCGCUGUUCUGACGGUACCUAAAGAGAAAGCACCGGCUAACUUCGUG
Molecule: ribosomal RNA, 492 nt
Filed under: uncultured bacterium
Lineage: Bacteria
Description: partial 16S ribosomal RNA
Rfam family: Bacterial small subunit ribosomal RNA
Source: RNAcentral